Molecule: non-coding RNA, 1001 nt
Organism: Chiloscyllium plagiosum (whitespotted bambooshark)
Lineage: Eukaryota; Metazoa; Chordata; Chondrichthyes; Orectolobiformes; Hemiscylliidae
Source: RefSeq, a predicted model, not a curated record
AUGUCACUGGGCAUUAUUUACACAGACUUGCGGGAGGUGUGUGAUUAAGUUCUUGUGAAGAGACCGGGGGGGUGAAAUUGGGGCUCAGGCAACUGAAGGCAGAUUGCUAACCUGGUUAGCGACUAGGAUGAGGGUGUCGUUGCCUAGACUAACACUGAUUGCCCAGUUACUCAGAAGGGAGUUAAGAGACAACCACAUUGUCCAGAGUCUGGAAUCACAUGUAGGCCCAGACCAGGAUUUGAACCUGACUCCUCGGAAAGUUAGCCGGGUCUUCGGAUUAACGGAAAACACCACUGGGUCGCCUGCUUCCCAAUUAUACAGAGAUUGACGGGCAAGAGGAGAUUCCGAAAUGUCAUCAGGGAACUGGAACACAAGCAGCAAUUACUUGGACAAAGGCUUCUCUCUCUCUCUCGCUCUCUCUCUCUCUGGAACGCUACAAAGCAACACUGUUCCUGUGACUGUACCCGGGACUCCGCUAUCUCCGGGAAUCUCCUUCUCUCCUUCAUCGAGAAUCCAUCCACACAGUUGCGCUGGCUUUGACCAAAUCACCAUCACCCAGACUACCUCACGGCUUCUCCUGGUCUCAGCAACACCCCAACCUUAAACCUUCUCAAGUCCCCUCGUGACCUAUGACCUUCCAAAGUCUCCACCUACCUCAAAUGCCAGCUCCCAUGACGCCCUGACCAGCAUCUUAAAUGCCUCCACCCGCCCCCACCCCCCCACGACCUACACCAUAAACCGGAUCAAUCGGAAAUUGACCCCAUUGCUGGGAUCUUACCGUGCGCAAUCAGGCAAACGCGUCCGUGGGCAAAAUGUCGAGCGUUGACAUAGCGCCUUUCAGGGCCUUGGGACCGCCCAAAAGCCUUUUCCAGGCAGUGACACACACAGGCACACUGCAGGAAAUUAGGCAGCCAAAUCAAUGCACAGCAAGAUCCCACAAACAGAAACGUGAGUAUCUGCAGAUAAUCUAUUCAUCUUUGAAAAGAAAAGUGUGGACUGGG